UGCAUACUCCUUCCAUCCUGAAAAGUUUGUCUUAUAUUUGUCUAGAUACGGAUGUAACAUCCGUAUCUAGACAAAUCUAAGACAAAAUUUUCGGGACGGAGGUAAUAUAUA
Molecule: non-coding RNA, 111 nt
Organism: Triticum aestivum (bread wheat)
Lineage: Eukaryota; Viridiplantae; Streptophyta; Magnoliopsida; Poales; Poaceae
Source: Rfam